UGGGGAAUAUUGCACAAUGGGGGAAACCCCGGAUGCAGCGACGCCGCGUGAAGGAAGAAGUAUCUCGGUAUGUAAACUUCUAUCAGCAGGGAAGAUAGUGACGGUACCUGACUAAGAAGCCCCGGCUAACUACGUGCC
RNAcentral lists this ribosomal RNA (138 nucleotides) under uncultured bacterium. RNAcentral describes it as "partial 16S ribosomal RNA". It matches the Rfam family "Bacterial small subunit ribosomal RNA", at positions 355 to 509 of the family's 1533-position model. The record is from RNAcentral.